This 253-nucleotide ribosomal RNA is filed under the name uncultured bacterium. RNAcentral's name for it is "partial 16S ribosomal RNA". It matches the Rfam family "Bacterial small subunit ribosomal RNA", at positions 524 to 776 of the family's 1533-position model. The record is from RNAcentral.
UACGGAGGGGGCUAGCGUUGUUCGGAAUCACUGGGCGUAAAGGGCGCGUAGGCGGCCUGGCAAGUCGGGGGUGAAAGCCUGUGGCUCAACCACAGAAUGGCCUUCGAUACUGCUGGGCUUGAGACCGGAAGAGGUCAGUGGAACUGCGAGUGUAGAGGUGAAAUUCGUAGAUAUUCGCAAGAACACCUGAGGCGAAGGCGGCUGACUGGUCCGGUUCUGACGCUGAGGCGCGAAAGCGUGGGGAGCAAACAGG